Molecule: small nuclear RNA, 20 nt
Filed under: Arabidopsis thaliana (thale cress)
Lineage: Eukaryota; Viridiplantae; Streptophyta; Magnoliopsida; Brassicales; Brassicaceae
Description: snRNA_18330
Source: RNAcentral
GUUUGGGACUUGGGACCGGC